This 148-nucleotide ribosomal RNA is filed under the name Loma morhua. Its description in RNAcentral is "partial small subunit ribosomal RNA". It matches the Rfam family "Microsporidia small subunit ribosomal RNA", at positions 1160 to 1304 of the family's 1311-position model. The record is from RNAcentral. Lineage: Eukaryota; Fungi; Microsporidia; Glugeidae.
CGCGAUGAAUACGUCCCUGUUCUUUGUACACACCGCCCGUCGUUAUCGAAGAUGAAGACAGGCGCGAACGAUCUACCAGAAAGUGAGCGCAGGUCUUUAGAUCUGAUACAAGUCGUAACAAGGUAGCUGUAGGUGAACCUGUAGCUGG